Molecule: ribosomal RNA, 465 nt
Filed under: uncultured bacterium
Lineage: Bacteria
Description: partial 16S ribosomal RNA
Rfam family: Bacterial small subunit ribosomal RNA
Source: RNAcentral
CCUACGGGAGGCAGCAGUGGGGAAUAUUGCGCAAUGGGCGAAAGCCUGACGCAGCGACGCCGCGUGAGGGAUGAAGGUCUUCGGAUCGUAAACCUCUGUCAGCAGGGAAGAACGGUAACUGUGCUAAUCAGCAGUGAAUUGACGGUACCUGCAAAGGAAGCACAGGCUAACUCCGUGCCAGCAGCCGCGGUAAUACGGAGGGUGCGAGCGUUAAUCGGAAUUACUGGGCGUACAGCGCUCGUAGGCGGUAUGUCAAGUCAAGGGUGAAAUCCCCGCGCUCAACGUGGGAACUGCCUUUGAAACUGGCAAACUGGAGGAUGUGAGAGGAUAGUGGAAUUCCAGGUGUAGGAGUGAAAUGCGUAGAUAUCUGGAGGAACAUCAGUGGCGAAGGCGACUAUCUGGCACAUAACUGACGCUGAGGAGCGAAAGCGUGGGUAGCAAACAGGAUUAGAUACCCUUGUAGUC